RNAcentral lists this ribosomal RNA (703 nucleotides) under Microbacterium paraoxydans. RNAcentral's name for it is "bacterial SSU rRNA". It matches the Rfam family "Bacterial small subunit ribosomal RNA", at positions 79 to 776 of the family's 1533-position model. Lineage: Bacteria; Bacillati; Actinomycetota; Actinomycetes; Micrococcales; Microbacteriaceae. The record is from RNAcentral.
UGCUUUCUCUUGAGAUCGCGCGGACGGGUGAGUAAUGCCUAGGAAUCUGCCUGGUAGUGGGGGAUAACGCUCGGAAACGGACGCUAAUACCGCAUACGUCCUACGGGAGAAAGCAGGGGACCUUCGGGCCUUGCGCUAUCAGAUGAGCCUAGGUCGGAUUAGCUAGUUGGUGAGGUAAUGGCUCACCAAGGCGACGAUCCGUAACUGGUCUGAGAGGAUGAUCAGUCACACUGGAACUGAGACACGGUCCAGACUCCUACGGGAGGCAGCAGUGGGGAAUAUUGGACAAUGGGCGAAAGCCUGAUCCAGCCAUGCCGCGUGUGUGAAGAAGGUCUUCGGAUUGUAAAGCACUUUAAGUUGGGAGGAAGGGCAGUUACCUAAUACGUAUCUGUUUUGACGUUACCGACAGAAUAAGCACCGGCUAACUCUGUGCCAGCAGCCGCGGUAAUACAGAGGGUGCAAGCGUUAAUCGGAAUUACUGGGCGUAAAGCGCGCGUAGGUGGUUUGUUAAGUUGGAUGUGAAAUCCCCGGGCUCAACCUGGGAACUGCAUUCAAAACUGACAAGCUAGAGUAUGGUAGAGGGUGGUGGAAUUUCCUGUGUAGCGGUGAAAUGCGUAGAUAUAGGAAGGAACACCAGUGGCGAAGUGCGACCACCUGGACUGAUACUGACACUGAGGGUGCGAAAGCGUGGGGAGCAAACUGU